UGGGGUAUGGUGUAAUUUGGCAGCACGAGUGAUUCUGGUUCAUUUAGUCUAGGUUCGAGUCCUGGUACCCCAGCGA
RNAcentral lists this transfer RNA (76 nucleotides) under Actinomyces sp. S4-C9. RNAcentral describes it as "tRNA-Gln". It matches the Rfam family "tRNA". Rfam says of the family: Transfer RNA (tRNA) molecules are approximately 80 nucleotides in length. Their secondary structure includes four short double-helical elements and three loops (D, anti-codon, and T loops). Lineage: Bacteria; Bacillati; Actinomycetota; Actinomycetes; Actinomycetales; Actinomycetaceae. The record is from RNAcentral.